RNAcentral lists this long non-coding RNA (683 nucleotides) under Ananas comosus (pineapple). RNAcentral's name for it is "long non-coding RNA (ACOM_LNC019305)". The record is from RNAcentral. Lineage: Eukaryota; Viridiplantae; Streptophyta; Magnoliopsida; Poales; Bromeliaceae.
UAUGUUAUGUAUAUUUUUCUUUUUUGGGUUUCAAAUAUAAUUUUAAUAUAUUUUUUUGUUAUUCAAAAAUAAUUCUGUUGUUAGUACUCGUUAAAUUAUUUCGAAUUAAACUCAGAUUAAAACUCUUGAUAUUGAGGCCCAUUUGACACUAUUAGAUAAAAUAAAGUUGAGACAAAAGUAUAUAGAGAUAUGUUUCUGCGUUCUCCAGUUGGAUCGCAAAAAAAAUAUUGUAACCUGCGAUAUGUAUGUACGAAAAAAAAAAAGAAUAUUUUUUCUUCAUACUUUCUCACUACACGUAACGUAAUCUUCCUGUAAUUCUAAACGGAGCUUAAAAAUUUCUAUCAAAGUUAAAAAAAAAUAAAAAUAACUCUUUUAUCCUUAACUUACAUAUUUUCUUAAUAGAUAUUAUCCUUUUUUAUAGGAUAAUUGUUUAUAUACCUUGAAAAGUUUCAAACUUUUUGAUUAAGCCUGUUUAGAAAGCUAAUAUGGAAAAUAUCUUUCUAACUUUCUUACUACACAUAACGUAAUUUUUCUAUAAUUUUAAACAGAGCCUAAAAAUUUCUAUCAAAGUUAAAAAAAAAUAAAAAUAACUCUUUUAUCCUUAACUUACAUAUUUUCUUAAUAGAUAUUAUCCUUUUUUAUAGGAUAAUUGUUUAUAUACCUUGAAAAGUUUCAAACUUUUU